AUGUCGAACAAAAGGAUCAGCCUUCUCUCGCAGAUCCAUGAGAAAGUGCUCUUCUGGAAUGCUAAGGUUCUCGUGUCUCGCAUCUGGCACUUCCGAGGUGGGACUGAUGAGGGUAACAUUGUGCACACUGACUUAGUGGUGCUUGACCAAGAGGGCACCCACAUGUAUGGCCAGAUUCCUCCUGAGCCAUCGGAGCGGCUGAAAGAUGUCUUGGUGGAAGGCAAUGUUUAUCUGAUGAAGGGAUUCAUGUGUAAACAAGCAAAGCAGACUUACAGGGCUGUUGAUAGCCCAUACAUGAUGCAAUUCACUCGCUUUAGUACUGCUAUUCCCCAGCCGGGUGAUGAAGAAAACUUCCCGUACCGCACUUACGACCUCCUGUCCUUCACGGAUAUCCCAAUGCCAGGCCCAAACACUCGUCGCUUUCUCGAUGUCAUUGGUCGAAUUACUGCAGUGACAGACAUAGUUAUUGUCCACUCUCAAUACCAGCCUGAACCUUCAGAAACCAGGACUAUAGUUCUCGAAGAUCAAGCAGGGAAUGAGAUCAAGCUUGUUCUUUGGGGUGCUCGAGCUCGUGAGUUUGAGGCAGAAGAGGUCCGUAUUGCAAGCCAAUCAGGAGCUGUCAUUACUAUCUUUGUGGGGACACUGCCAAAAACCUACCGAGGAAUUAAAGGACUAAGUGGUAGCUCUGCAUGCCGCUGGUACAUUAAUGAGGACUUGCCAGAGAUGAAUGCCUUUCGUGCUAGCCUUCCAGAAAGUCUUGCUGCUGUCACUGCUCACAUACCAGGAGAACAGGCAAUUGUUCCAGCACCUGUUCGUGAGCCUCUUGUCGAACUGAGUGUUCAACAGCUGCUUGCUCUUGACCCGUUUAAUAAUCUGAAAAAGCAAUUUAUGGUCAAGGUUAUUAUUACACGCAUGGGCUCUGACAACCGUUGGUGGUUUCUCUCAUGCCGGGAAUGCCAUAAAACAGCCUAUACGGCUGGAAGGCAGUACCGUUGCUCGGACCACGGCUGCUCUUCUGUUGCAGCAGAUCCCUCAUACUGUCUGUGCACUUUCGGAAGCGACGGCGCAGCUGAGGCAGAAUUUAUGUUCUUUGAUAGAGCUGCAAAGAGUGCUGUUGUGAAGCCACUCAUGACUUUGAUUUACCGCAAGUAUCCUGGUUUCACAAGUGCGCUUGAUCUGCCUUAUAUAGGAGGUGCUGAUGUAGGCUUGCCUGUUGAAAUUUCACGCCUUGUUACCAAGAAGUAUAGACUUGUCGUUUCUAUCUCCACCAAAAGCUUUCAGCCUGCAAGCACCCAGCUGUCCUUCCAAGUUGGCAGGGUUGAUGAAACCUUUAAGCCUGAACUAGCAUCCUUUGGAUUUGGCGGUGCGUCAUCUUCUGCUGGGAGCUCAGGCAUAGCGGUGCCCAUUCCGACGUCUUUCGCUACAGGAUCAUCUACACUUGUUGACCUACCUCCCGAUGAGAUGAACACUCCCAUAUCUGCAUUCAGAGGAAAAGGACAGGCUUCUAUGCCUAAAACACCCAGCAAAUCACCAUGCCAAAAAAGCGCUCGCCGCAAACUUGUUCUUGAGCUCUCUAAGUCUAGGGACGAAGAGCUAUCUGGCUCUGCUCCCGAGUUGGCUACCCAGACGGGAGACGUUGUUCCUCCUGGAAAUGUUGUUCAGCCUACAUCCAUGCCAAAUGUUAGCCAGGAGAAUGAAGCUGCAGCUACUGAAAAUUCAGACAGCCUCCUUCCUGACCCCUCUAAAACCAAGAGGGCAAACACUCCUGCAAAGGGAGCUGGCACUCCAAAGAAAGCGAGGCAGUAG
This 1806-nucleotide ribosomal RNA is filed under the name Triticum aestivum (bread wheat). RNAcentral describes it as "partial small subunit ribosomal RNA". Lineage: Eukaryota; Viridiplantae; Streptophyta; Magnoliopsida; Poales; Poaceae. The record is from RNAcentral.